GAUGAACGCUGGCGGCGUGCUUAACACAUGCAAGUCGAACGGUGAAGGUGGGAGCUUGCUCCUGCUGGAUCAGUGGCGAACGGGUGAGUAACACGUGAGUAACCUGCCCCGGACUCUGGGAUAAGCGUUGGAAACGACGUCUAAUACCGGAUACGAGACGAGAAGGCAUCUUCAUCGUCUGGAAAGAUUUUUUGGUCUGGGAUGGACUCGCGGCCUAUCAGGUUGUUGGUGAGGUAAUGGCUCACCAAGCCUACGACGGGUAGCCGGCCUGAGAGGGUGAGCGGCCACACUGGGACUGAGACACUGCCCAGACUCCUACGGGAGGCAGCAGUGGGGAAUAUUGCACAAUGGGCGAAAGCCUGAUGCAGCAACGCCGCGUGAGGGACGACGGCCUUCGGGUUGUAAACCUCUUUUAGUAGGGAAGAAGCGAAAGUGACGGUACCUGCAGAAAAAGCACCGGCUAACUACGUGCCAGCCGCCGCCGUAA
RNAcentral lists this ribosomal RNA (487 nucleotides) under uncultured bacterium. RNAcentral describes it as "partial 16S ribosomal RNA". It matches the Rfam family "Bacterial small subunit ribosomal RNA", at positions 28 to 523 of the family's 1533-position model. The record is from RNAcentral.